CCUGUUUGGAGAAAAACAAAAAGCAGCUCUGAUGAAUUAUUUAUUAGCUUUUAUAAAAACACUACAAAACACACAAUGCACUUGAGACAUAAACACCAGCUCCUUAAACAUGUGCAGGUAGACCUUGUAAUUACAAAGAUAUAUUCUCCAGCAAACUGCUACUACACCAUAUACAUGAGUGGAAGCUGUGUAACAAACCAUCAUUAUUGUCACUCAGGUCAUUAUGGGAUGGUUCCGUGACGGCGGCUGCGUGCCUUUAUUACAGACUUGAUCUUUUAUUACAGACUUGAUUGUCUUUUUCAUCAAUGUGCGGGAGCGUCUGUCACUGCGGCCUCGCGAGCCAGACCCCGCCGCCUUGACCCUCGGGUCAAAGGUCAGCUGGCCACUCCGCCAUUAUCAUCAGCCCAGUCCUCUGCAGGCAGACACCAGACCGCAGACACGUUCUCUUAAUACAUCCAUGCAGACAGCAGGCGGACUGAGCUCCUGUUUAAUCCCGACUGAGUAGCCUGUGUGUGUGUGUGUGUGUGUGUGUGUGUGUGUGCCCAAUAAGAACUAACCGUUCCCUUCUGAACUACCGUAAAGCAUAGCGCUUUAACGUGAAGUGUCGUUAGCAAACGGCUAACGCUAGCUGAACCGUAAACUCAAUAUACGCUAGCUUGUUUUUAGCGUAGAUAUAAAACAGUUUUAUGUUUAUGUUGUAUGGUUUUUAGUUUGCAUUAAUGAAUGUUAGACGUUGUAGAACACUACCGUUGCGUAGCGACACACAGGAUGCGGUCUACAGGGGAAUUGUCAGCUCUUGUCCCGCUGGCUGUUGCCGUGGUGACCAGUGUGGAGAUAAUAGCAGUUAAUGAGAUAUUAACCCCGAAGAAGGAAGAAGACAGGAAGUGAUGAGCAUUUUCAGGAAGGACUAAAGACGGGAUUCGUCAAUGGAUGACCCCGGUCUGAUCAAUAUUGUUCUGUUAUUCGGCGUCGGUAACAAGCAGCCCCGACCUCGUCCCUCUGAGACUCAGGAGCAAAUAACCACAAUGAAAGGACGGCGCCAGCAAGCGGCCUCACUGCCUCGUCUCCCCGCGAGUCCUUGCACACCAAUCUCGUCAUCCCAGAGGUUCAAAGAUGAAGUGAGUUGGUCUUGAGCUGAAGUGAGCUGAAAGAUGGAGCAAUGUAAGCCGAAAUACCUGGAUUCAAACCUGCAACUUUAUAGGCAGUUUACAAGGUAAAUGCAUUUAAUUCUGUCGACCCUUAAGCACGGCCAAACACCGCUGUUAUCUCUCUCUCCACAUUCCCAACAUCCCUUGCAUUACUUCAGCCCUCUCUUUUU
This is a long non-coding RNA of Sebastes umbrosus (honeycomb rockfish), 1318 nucleotides long. RefSeq lists it as uncharacterized. NCBI's taxonomy places the organism in Eukaryota, Metazoa, Chordata, Actinopteri, Perciformes, Sebastidae. The record is from RefSeq and is a predicted model, not a curated record. The transcript is spliced from 4 exons.